AAUAAACUAAUUUUUUAUUUUUUACCUUUAAUUUUUAAUUCUUUGUCUUAUUUAAUUUUUUUUGCAAUUGAUAUUUUUGUUUUUAUUAGAUGAUAAAUCAUGAAUAGUACUUUACGUGUGACUAGUUUUUUUUUAAUUUCCUGAAAAUUUUUUAAAUAAGACGUAUGGUCAAACGUUGGAUACGGAAACCGAAGAAUUCGUUUUUU
This 206-nucleotide microRNA precursor is filed under the name Oryza brachyantha (malo sina). Its description in RNAcentral is "MIR812 microRNA precursor family". It matches the Rfam family "MIR812 microRNA precursor family". Lineage: Eukaryota; Viridiplantae; Streptophyta; Magnoliopsida; Poales; Poaceae. The record is from Rfam by way of RNAcentral.